UGGCUGAGUGGCAAAGCGCUUGGCUUCCGAACCGGGAGUCCCGGGUUCGAAUCCUGG
Molecule: non-coding RNA, 57 nt
Organism: Biomphalaria glabrata
Lineage: Eukaryota; Metazoa; Mollusca; Gastropoda; Planorbidae
Source: Rfam